UGUGGCAAUUGGGAGAUACUGAUACUUGU
RNAcentral lists this non-coding RNA (29 nucleotides) under Homo sapiens (human). Lineage: Eukaryota; Metazoa; Chordata; Mammalia; Primates; Hominidae. The record is from RNAcentral.